This 253-nucleotide ribosomal RNA is filed under the name uncultured bacterium. RNAcentral describes it as "partial 16S ribosomal RNA". It matches the Rfam family "Bacterial small subunit ribosomal RNA", at positions 524 to 776 of the family's 1533-position model. The record is from RNAcentral.
UACGAAGGGGGCGAGCGUUGUUCGGAUUUACUGGGCGUAAAGGGCGCGUAGGCGGAUAGUUUAGUCAGAGGUGAAAGCCCAGGGCUCAACCUUGGAAUUGCCUUUGAUACUGGCUAUCUUGAGUUCGGGAGAGGUGAGUGGAAUGCCGAGUGUAGAGGUGAAAUUCGUAGAUAUUCGCAAGAACACCAGUGGCGAAGGCGGCUCACUGGCCCGAUACUGACGCUGAGGCACGAAAGCGUGGGGAGCAAACAGG